RNAcentral lists this small nucleolar RNA (139 nucleotides) under Echinops telfairi (small Madagascar hedgehog). RNAcentral's name for it is "Small nucleolar RNA SNORA61 (ENSETEG00000026404.1)". Lineage: Eukaryota; Metazoa; Chordata; Mammalia; Afrosoricida; Tenrecidae. The record is from RNAcentral.
ACCCUCCAGACUUCGUGCUCAUCAGACCUAAACACUGAUCUGAGGGGUUAUAAAAGGAGGAAAGCUGCACUUGAAACCAACUGUACCUUCUCUGUGAUACAAGUUAUCACUAAAAAAAUAAAGAUGGAUCUUGAAAUGU